RNAcentral lists this ribosomal RNA (118 nucleotides) under Bacillus amyloliquefaciens CC178. Lineage: Bacteria; Bacillati; Bacillota; Bacilli; Caryophanales; Bacillaceae. The record is from RNAcentral.
GUUUGGUGGCGAUAGCGAAGAGGUCACACCCGUUCCCAUGCCGAACACGGAAGUUAAGCUCUUCAGCGCCGAUGGUAGUCGGGGGUUUCCCCCUGUGAGAGUAGGACGCCGCCAAGCU